This 73-nucleotide transfer RNA is filed under the name Ixodes scapularis (black-legged tick). RNAcentral describes it as "tRNA-Ser". Lineage: Eukaryota; Metazoa; Arthropoda; Arachnida; Ixodida; Ixodidae. The record is from RNAcentral.
UCCUGGUUAGCUGAGCUGCGACACCACUUUACUGGAGAUGGAGAGAAUCCUGGUUCGAUACCAGGACCGGGAC